This 120-nucleotide small RNA is filed under the name Marmota monax (woodchuck). The record is from RNAcentral. Lineage: Eukaryota; Metazoa; Chordata; Mammalia; Rodentia; Sciuridae.
GCCAGGUGCGGUGGUGCAUGCCUAUAACCCCAGAUGCUCGGAGGCUGAGGCAGGAGGAUCGCUAGUUCAAAGCCAACCUCAGCAAUUUAGUUUGGCCCUAACUCGGAGACCCUGUCUCUA